Molecule: transfer RNA, 68 nt
Filed under: Pachycephus smyrnensis
Lineage: Eukaryota; Metazoa; Arthropoda; Insecta; Hymenoptera; Cephidae
Description: tRNA-Tyr
Source: RNAcentral
GAUAAUGUGGCUGAAAAUAGGCGAUAAAUUGUAAAUUUAUUUAUAAAAAAUAAUUUUUUUCAUUAUUA